AGAAAAGAAAUAGAAAG
RNAcentral lists this ribosomal RNA (17 nucleotides) under Stereophaedusa tokunoshimaensis. Its description in RNAcentral is "Phaedusa tokunoshimaensis partial 5.8S rRNA". The record is from RNAcentral. Lineage: Eukaryota; Metazoa; Mollusca; Gastropoda; Stylommatophora; Clausiliidae.